GAACGGUAACAGGUUAAGCUGACGAGUGGCGAACGGGUGAGUAAUAUAUCGGAACGUGCCCAGUAGUGGGGGAUAGCCCGGCGAAAGCCGGAUUAAUACCGCAUACGACCUACGGGUGAAAGCGGGGGAUCGCAAGACCUCGCGCUAUUGGAGCGGCCGAUAUCAGAUUAGCUAGUUGGUAGGGUAAAAGCCUACCAAGGCGACGAUCUGUAGCUGGUCUGAGAGGACGACCAGCCACACUGGGACUGAGACACGGCCCAGACUCCUACGGGAGGCAGCAGUGGGGAAUUUUGGACAAUGGACGCAAGUCUGAUCCAGCCAUGCCGCGUGCGGGAAGAAGGCCUUCGGGUUGUAAACCGCUUUUGUCAGGGAAGAAAAGUCUGGGGCUAAUAUCCUCGGACGAUGACGGUACCUGAAGAAUAAGCACCGGCUAACUACGUG
RNAcentral lists this ribosomal RNA (441 nucleotides) under uncultured bacterium. RNAcentral's name for it is "bacterial SSU rRNA". It matches the Rfam family "Bacterial small subunit ribosomal RNA", at positions 64 to 507 of the family's 1533-position model. The record is from RNAcentral.